GAUGAACGCUAGCGGCAGGCCUAAUACAUGCAAGUCGGACGGGAUUGAGAAGCUUGCUUUUCGUGAGAGUGGCGCACGGGUGCGUAACACGUAUGUAACCUACCUUAAUCAGGGGGAUAGCCUCUCGAAAGAGAGAUUAACACCGCAUAAAAUCAAUUUAUGGCAUCAUAGAAUGAUCAAAUAUUUAUAGGAUUAAGAUGGGCAUGCGGAACAUUAGCUAGUUGGUAAGGUAACGGCUUACCAAGGCUACGAUGUUUAGGGGAUCUGAGAGGAUGACCCCCCACACUAGUACUGAGAAACGAACCAGACUCCUACGGGAGGCAGCAGUAAGGAAUAUUGGUCAAUGGGCGCAAGCCUGAACCAGCCAUGCCGCGUGCAGGAAGACGGCCCUACGGGUUGUAAACUGCUUUUGUACCGGAAUAAACCUUUGUAUGUAUACGAAGCUGAAUGUACGGUAAGAAUAAGGAUCGACUAACUCCGUGCCAGCAGCCGCCGUAA
This 498-nucleotide ribosomal RNA is filed under the name uncultured bacterium. RNAcentral's name for it is "partial 16S ribosomal RNA". It matches the Rfam family "Bacterial small subunit ribosomal RNA", at positions 28 to 523 of the family's 1533-position model. The record is from RNAcentral.